AUUGAACGCUGGCGGCAUGCCUUACACAUGCAAGUCGAACGGCAGCACGGGAGCAAUCCUGGUGGCGAGUGGCGAACGGGUGAGUAAUAUAUCGGAACGUGCCCGGUCGUGGGGGAUAACGUAGCGAAAGCUUCGCUAAUACCGCAUACGAUCUACGGAUGAAAGCGGGGGAUCGCAAGACCUCGCGCGAUUGGAGCGGCCGAUAUCAGAUUAGGUAGUUGGUGAGGUAAAGGCUCACCAAGCCGACGAUCUGUAGCUGGUCUGAGAGGACGACCAGCCACACUGGGACUGAGACACGGCCCAGACUCCUACGGGAGGCAGCAGUGGGGAAUUUUGGACAAUGGGCGCAAGCCUGAUCCAGCAAUGCCGCGUGCAGGAUGAAGGCCUUCGGGUUGUAAACUGCUUUGUACGGAACGAAACGGUGAGCUCUAAUACAGUUUGCUAAUGACGGUACCGUAAGAAUAAGCACCGGCUAACUACGUG
This 483-nucleotide ribosomal RNA is filed under the name uncultured bacterium. RNAcentral's name for it is "bacterial SSU rRNA". It matches the Rfam family "Bacterial small subunit ribosomal RNA", at positions 30 to 507 of the family's 1533-position model. The record is from RNAcentral.